CAGUUUACUUGCAUUAAAUGCAAAGCAAUUUCUGUCAUUAUUAUUACUCUGUAUAAUGUAGGCCUCCCUGUUACAGACAGAGUUUACACAGUAACUGGCCCAGAGGAAGAACAACUGAAGUAUUGGGAUUUGGUAAUAAUAUAAGGCACAUAUGAAGUCCACUCCGUGAUUUGGAAAAGUUGAGUCUGGAGUUAUUUAAGGCCAGAAUACCUCGGCACGAUAUCCCUUUCAGUACUUCUUCUCAGACUUCCUAUGCUAUUCCAUCAUCCGCCACAUGAGUCUGUAAGACUGGACAGUUGCGUUUGCUCUCCCAUCCGCGGCGGAUCCGUGCCAGUCUGAUGGAGAUGCAUGGCAGCAGCAGAACGGCUCGGCACAGCAGGACGACGCAGGGCAGAGCCACGGCCAACACAGAACUGGGUGGCAUGUAGAACGGGUACGCCUCGAUGUGGAAGACGAGAUCCCAACCAAAGAAGAGCGUGUGCAUGAUGGACAGAGUCAGAGCUAUGUAGCCCAAACCUGACUGAAGGAAGAAGAGAGAUGAAACUUCAAAUUUAGUAAAUGUUAAAAAGCUGCUAUUGUGCCUGUAUGUUGAAUGUUCAUUUGCGUGCUAAUCAAA
Pimephales promelas (fathead minnow) is the source of this 616-nucleotide non-coding RNA. The record is from RefSeq and is a predicted model, not a curated record. Lineage: Eukaryota; Metazoa; Chordata; Actinopteri; Cypriniformes; Leuciscidae.